GAUGAACGCUGGCGGCGUGCCUAAUACAUGCAAGUCGAGCGAACACACGAGGAGCUUGCUCCUUCGACGUUAGCGGCGGACGGGUGAGUAACACGUAGGUAACCUACCUAUAAGACUGGGAUAACUUCGGGAAACCGGAGCUAAUACCGGAUAAUAUUUCGAACCGCAUGGUUCGAUAGUGAAAGAUGGCUUUGCUAUCACUUAUAGAUGGACCUGCGCCGUAUUAGCUAGUUGGUAAGGUAACGGCUUACCAAGGCAACGAUACGUAGCCGACCUGAGAGGGUGAUCGGCCACACUGGAACUGAGACACGGUCCAGACUCCUACGGGAGGCAGCAGUAGGGAAUCUUCCGCAAUGGGCGAAAGCCUGACGGAGCAACGCCGCGUGAGUGAUGAAGGUCUUCGGAUCGUAAAACUCUGUUAUUAGGGAAGAACAAACGUGUAAGUAACUGUGCACGUCUUGACGGUACCUAAUCAGAAAGCCACGGCUAACUACGUG
This 497-nucleotide ribosomal RNA is filed under the name uncultured bacterium. Its description in RNAcentral is "partial 16S ribosomal RNA". It matches the Rfam family "Bacterial small subunit ribosomal RNA", at positions 28 to 507 of the family's 1533-position model. The record is from RNAcentral.